RNAcentral lists this long non-coding RNA (2072 nucleotides) under Marmota monax (woodchuck). The record is from RNAcentral. Lineage: Eukaryota; Metazoa; Chordata; Mammalia; Rodentia; Sciuridae.
GGUUCUCAUUUUUAAGGAAGUACCUAUUCACUUCUCUUGUCCACUGUUUUGUGUUGUGUAUUUCUUACAGAUAGGACAGUGGUUGUUCUCUUCAUGAAUAUUGCAGGUGAUCUCCCUUAAUGGCUUGCCUUUUCACUGUUACCCUUUCAAUCUUGUAACACUCCAAGUCUCUCCUUUUAUGAGUGCUUUUCAUGUCUUGAUUUAGAAUUUGUCACCUAGACUUAUGAACAUAUUUUCUAUAUUAUUGUUUUAUUUUGCUGAAUCCAGUCUGAUGUUGCCCCCAAAGAGGCAGCAUGUGCUGGGAUGUGGCUCAGUAGCAGAGUGCUUGCUUAGCAUGUGCAAGGAAGGGGGUUCAAUGUUCAGCACCACACAAAAAAAAGGCAGCAGGGGAAUUCCUACAAGGGGAGUGCCCCAAUUGUCUUGCUAUGGGGCCUGUUGGGAUUGUAAUGAAAGAAGCACUAAAAAGCCAGAUGAUCAUUCCUGAGCAUCUGUUAAAACUUACAGAGUGGGCUUCAGCAUCAUGACAAUGAGAGACAGGGAUGUCCUACCUAGCUAGAUUUGUCUGCAGUGAGGGGGACAUGAGGAUUUAAGGAUUUGGGCAACCACCUAAACCAGUUUAUCAGUGCCUGGGAAUGUUCAAGGCACCAGUUUGGGCUCAAACCUGCAGGGAAAUACCUACAGCUGUCUGGGUCACAAAGUAGUCAAGACACAGAAAGGGGAGGGGUGAUUAGGUGACCCUACAGUUAUUUUAUGGACACUUUAUUGUGUCACUUUUUACAUUAGAUUUAUAGUUUACCUGCAGGUGAUCUGCAUGUAUUAGGGGAUAAAUUUCAUUUUCCCCCAUAUAGACAUCUAAUAAUCCAUUUACAUUUAUUGAAAGGAUCAUACUCUCCGGCUGGGGUUGUUGUUCAGAGGUAGAGUGCUCAGCUAGCAUACGUGAGGCCCUGGGUUCCAUCCUUAGCACCACAUAAAAAUAAAAUAAAGGUGUUGUGUCCACUUACAAUUAAAAAAAAUUAAAUAUUAAAAAAAGAAAAGAUCAUACUCUCUCCAUUGUUUUGCUAUGCCAAAUGUCAUAAGUCAGCUGUCUAUACAUGUUUGGAUUCUUUUUUUUUUCCCACUAGACUGUCUAUCCUUGUGCUAAUAUUGCAUCAUCUUAAAUACUCUAUUGCCAGAUGUGGUGGUGCAUGCCUGUAAUCUCAGUGGCUCAGGAGGCUGAGGCAGGAGGAUCUCAAGUUCACAGCCAGCCUCAGCAACUUAGCAAGGCCUUAACCAACUUAAUGAGACUAUAUCUCAAAAUAAAGAAAAGGGGCUGGGGAUGUAGCUCAGUGGUUAAGCUACAUUCCUGGUGCCAAAUCCCUAGUACAAAAACAAACAAAAAAGCCCUCUAUUUCUUAAUGGAAUAUUUUUUCUCUCAUGAUUUGUGAUUUUCAUACAAAGUAUUUCACUAACUUGAUAUGAAGUAGAUAUUGUGUAUUGUCAUCAUGAGGACUGGGGAACCCAAUUAGAAGUUCUCCUGUGUUCUAUCCUUAUUACCUGGUGGUCAGCAUUUUAGAAUAAAAGGAAUGUGCCAUUACAGGGACUAGUGACAUUUGAGGAUGUGGCUGUGGAUUUCACCCAGGAGGAGUGGCAGUACCUGAACUCUCUGCAGAGGACCUUAUACCGAGAUGUGAUGCUAGAGACCUACAGCAACCUGGUCUCCGUGGGUAAGAAUGGCUUCCUCAGGUAAUUUUGCUGUUUAUGAUUACUGCAUUAAAUGGAGGAUAUUUUGUUUCUCAAUUUCCCACUUUUCUUUCCUGAAAAGGUAUUUGAGAACUAAAAAUCCAAGUUAAAUGGUUUGACAUUACCAUUGUAUCAAACAACAGGUUCCCUUGUGCUGUCACCAAACUGAAACUUCUUUUGCCUUGGCUCUGAAGAAUUAUACCAAGAAGCUAUCUGUUAUUUGUCAUUAACAGGGCAACAGGUUUGUAAACCAGACCUCAUCCUCAAGUUGGAGGUGGAAGAGCUAUGCCCAGCAGAAGACAGAAUUCCAAUUUGGAGCUUUCCAGGUAAAUAGGAUUGACUCAGACUCUGAG